AUAAAAUUGUUCUGUGGCUCGCCUUUCUGAAAAGCUGCAAUUCACGUGACUGGGGAAUGUAUUCUCUAAUUCCAUCGUGUUCGAGGAGUCAGCCAACAAAUCAAGGACAAGAAAACAGUAGGAUAAAGGCAGUAAUGGUUUCUCACCACAAUCCUGAGAUUUGACCUCGAUAAACAGUGGUCAGGCAGACCUUACACCCUUCACAAAAAUUAGCUCAAGACGGAACACAGACCUCAGUAUAAAAUGCAAAACUGUGAAACUCCCAGAAGAUACCACGGGAGGAAAAAAAAAAACCUAGAUAAAUUUGGGUGUGGCAAUGACUUUUUAGAUGGAACACCAAAGGUCUGCUCCCACUUCCUGGAUCAGUCUUCAGUCCUUCUUUGGCAGGCUCACCCACUUCUGCCCGUUCCGGCCGGUACUGGUUCCAAAAGGCUCUGUACUCCACCUCUUCGCUCUUCCCAUGUGACACAUUCUGCCCGAGCAAUGUCAGCCGUUCCUAGAGCAUCAGCAUCGUACACAUUCUGGAGGGAUGCCUGGAACAGGAGCAACUUUCCCCGAAAACAUGCUUCUCGCAGCCCCUCGGCUGCUUCCUUUCACAGGCCUCAGGCGGGUGAAUGCCCAAGCUGGCAGUGACUUCCAUCUAUUGCCAAGUCCUGCCCAGAGGGUCUAACAACUGGCUCUACAAUGCAAGGGAAGACUUGGCCCUUGUUGCUGUUGUUGGCCUUUGGGGCUCCGGCUAAAACUGGAAUACAGUGUCUCUCUUUAACAUUGUCUUACAAUUUUUUUUGUUAAUUC
Felis catus (domestic cat) is the source of this 795-nucleotide long non-coding RNA. RefSeq lists it as uncharacterized. NCBI's taxonomy places the organism in Eukaryota, Metazoa, Chordata, Mammalia, Carnivora, Felidae. The record is from RefSeq and is a predicted model, not a curated record. The transcript has 2 exons.